GACGAACGCUGGCGGCGUGCUUAACACAUGCAAGUCGAACGGAAAGGCCCUGCUUUUGUGGGGUGCUCGAGUGGCGAACGGGUGAGUAACACGUGGGUAACCUGCCCUUGACUUUGGGAUAACUUCAGGAAACUGGGGCUCAUACCGGAUAGGAGCUCCUGCUGCUUGGUGGGGGUUGGAAAGUUUCGGCGGUUGGGGAUGGACUCGCGGCUUAUCAGCUUGUUGGUGGGGUAGUGGCUUACCAAGGCUUUGACGGGUAGCCGGCCUGAGAGGGUGACCGGCCACAUUGGGACUGAGAUACGGCCCAGACUCCUACGGGAGGCAGCAGUGGGGAAUAGUGCACAAUGGGCGGAAGCCUGAUGCAGCAACGCCGCGUGCGGGAUGACGGCCUUCGGGUUGUAAACCGCUUUCGCCUGUGACGAAGCGUGAGUGACGGUAAUGGGUAAAGAAGCAACGGCUAACUACGUG
This 468-nucleotide ribosomal RNA is filed under the name uncultured bacterium. Its description in RNAcentral is "partial 16S ribosomal RNA". It matches the Rfam family "Bacterial small subunit ribosomal RNA", at positions 28 to 507 of the family's 1533-position model. The record is from RNAcentral.